This 252-nucleotide ribosomal RNA is filed under the name uncultured bacterium. Its description in RNAcentral is "partial 16S ribosomal RNA". It matches the Rfam family "Bacterial small subunit ribosomal RNA", at positions 524 to 776 of the family's 1533-position model. The record is from RNAcentral.
UACGGAGGAUGCGAGCGUUAUCCGGAUUUAUUGGGUUUAAAGGGUGCGUAGGCGGUCCGUUAAGUCAGCGGUAAAAUUGCGGGGCUCAACCCCGUCGAGCCGUUGAAACUGGCAGACUUGAGUUGGCGAGGAGUACGCGGAAUGCGCGGUGUAGCGGUGAAAUGCAUAGAUAUCGCGCAGAACUCCGAUUGCGAAGGCAGCGUACCGGCGCCAGACUGACGCUGAGGCACGAAAGCGUGGGGAUCGAACAGG